CUAGUUUAAGAGUCCAUUUAAGAGUUGUUCUGGCUCUUCUGGUCACAUUACAUGAUCUUCAAUAACGGAUGGAUUCCCCCCCCUCCCCCAGUUGUUGAAGUGCCGGCCGUGAGGUUUAUGCAUCGGGGGCCAAGUACAACAGUCCCUACGCCAGUGACGUGAUUCGCUGUCCAGAAGAGGCUCAACAGUCGAGGCUGACCUUUCGCAUCUCAAUUCCAGAUCUUACCAUAGCAACGUAAUGCAGCAAAUUCAUGCCCGGCUUGUUGGCUUUGGUGUCCGCCAGCUUGAGUAGUGAUGAAAUUCGAAAACCAGCAGCAUUCCCCGCAUAGCCACCCUGAGAAGCCAAGAGCAAGGUCACAGGAAAGAAAUAAAACAAAAGGGGCACUCACAGCAUUCAUAUAGUUCCCUGCCUUCAGCACCAAUCUUAGGAUGGAGUGCAGCUCUGGACAGCUCAGCAGUUCUGGAAGAGUAAAAGAAAAGAGAUUUCAUAUUGUUAUUAUCGAGUAAAAAUGUGCACGCAGAUAGCAUCGCUUAAACUGCUUAAAUCACAA
This is a long non-coding RNA of Mugil cephalus (flathead mullet), 551 nucleotides long. RefSeq lists it as uncharacterized. The transcript is spliced from 4 exons. The record is from RefSeq and is a predicted model, not a curated record. NCBI's taxonomy places the organism in Eukaryota, Metazoa, Chordata, Actinopteri, Mugiliformes, Mugilidae.